This 454-nucleotide ribosomal RNA is filed under the name uncultured bacterium. Its description in RNAcentral is "partial 16S ribosomal RNA". It matches the Rfam family "Bacterial small subunit ribosomal RNA", at positions 28 to 507 of the family's 1533-position model. The record is from RNAcentral.
GAUGAACGCUGACAGAAUGCUUAACACAUGCAAGUCAACUUGAACUUCGGUUUGGGUGGCGGACGGGUGAGUAACGCGUAAAGAACUUGCCUCACAGCUAGGGACAACAUUUGGAAACGAAUGCUAAUACCUGAUAUUAUGAUUUUAGGGCAUCCUAGAAUUAUGAAAGCUAUAUGCGCUGUGAGAGAGCUUUGCGUCCCAUUAGCUAGUUGGAGAGGUAACGGCUCACCAAGGCGAUGAUGGGUAGCCGGCCUGAGAGGGUGAACGGCCACAAGGGGACUGAGACACGGCCCUUACUCCUACGGGAGGCAGCAGUGGGGAAUAUUGGACAAUGGACCAAGAGUCUGAUCCAGCAAUUCUGUGUGCACGAUGAAGUUUUUCGGAAUGUAAAGUGCUUUCAGUUGGGAAGAAAAAAAUGACGGUACCAACAGAAGAAGGGACGGCUAAAUACGUG